ACGCUCGACACCUACGGGAGGCGGCAGUAGGGAAUCUUCCACAAUGGGCGCAAGCCUGAUGGAGCAACACCGCGUGAGUGAAGAAGGGUUUCGGCUCGUAAAGCUCUGUUGUUGGAGAAGAACGUGCGUGAGAGUAACUGUUCACGCAGUGACGGUAUCCAACCAGAAAGUCACGGCUAACUACGUGCCAGCAGCCGGGUAGUCUGAGCGGGCUGGCAAGGC
This 222-nucleotide ribosomal RNA is filed under the name uncultured bacterium. RNAcentral describes it as "partial 16S ribosomal RNA". It matches the Rfam family "Bacterial small subunit ribosomal RNA", at positions 328 to 539 of the family's 1533-position model. The record is from RNAcentral.